RNAcentral lists this transfer RNA (76 nucleotides) under Curvularia lunata CX-3. RNAcentral describes it as "tRNA-Asp (GTC) (tRNA-Asp-GTC-8-1)". The record is from RNAcentral. Lineage: Eukaryota; Fungi; Ascomycota; Dothideomycetes; Pleosporales; Pleosporaceae.
AGCACAGUUACAUAGUGGUCAGUAUUUCCGCUUGUCACGCGGGAGACCGGGGGUUCAAUUCCCCGCUGGAGAGCUU